This 194-nucleotide ribosomal RNA is filed under the name uncultured bacterium. RNAcentral describes it as "partial 16S ribosomal RNA". It matches the Rfam family "Bacterial small subunit ribosomal RNA", at positions 338 to 524 of the family's 1533-position model. The record is from RNAcentral.
CCUACGGGAGGCAGCAGUGGGGAAUUUUGGACAAUGGGGGCAACCCUGAUCCAGCCAUGCCGCGUGAGUGAAGAAGGCCUUCGGGUUGUAAAGCUCUUUUGGUCGGGAAGAAAGUGCUCUGCCUAAUACGUGGGGUAUUUGACGGUACCGGCAGAAUAAGCACCGGCUAACUACGUGCCAGCAGCCGCGGUAAU